Molecule: long non-coding RNA, 1383 nt
Organism: Pygocentrus nattereri (red-bellied piranha)
Lineage: Eukaryota; Metazoa; Chordata; Actinopteri; Characiformes; Serrasalmidae
Source: Ensembl
GACACAGGUUGGGACGGAACUCUACUGGAAGGUGGCUCUCCAGGACCAGGGGGGGAGAUUGUCCGAGAACCCCUGCCCUGCACACUGAGAUGUCUUCUCUGCUUCGAAUUGUUUUUCCUCUUGAAGAAGUAGAACUGAAGACUCCUGUAGAUGGACAGUCCACCAGCGUUACACACAUCAGAAUUAAGGAGUGAACUCAUGACUACUGAGAGCGUCUCGGUCAUCGACUUACCACACUGGGAAAGUGGAAAAAGGAGGAUUCGGUUCUUAUAUCUAGCUGGAAACAACUCCUUUAAAGUUACCAAACAGAAUACAAAUGAGGAGCAGAUGAUUCCCCUCUUCCUUGGAGCCGAUCUCUUUUCUAACACAGAUAUCCGCACUGAGAACCAUCCUAGAUACCACGGAAAAUUUGCCAAAAAAGGACUGGCAACAAAACUGGUUUUCUCCUCAGCCUUCAGGUUCCAAGGCAUUCGACUUCCUUGCUCCAAUAAUGGCUUGUGGUUCUACUGUAUUCAUGGCGUUUUCCGGGUGGCCUUUGAUCUUUACAGUAAAGAAGAGCAGCUUUCAGUCUUGGAGUCAUUUCAGGAUCUCUGGAAGUCCCGAAUCAAUGAUGAGCAAUUAAACAUGGUUUACAACCUGCAUGUCCAACUGCCAACAACUACCAGCUACCAUGGUGACAAAGAGAUAUCACAUGAACAUGCUUCUAAUAACAUAUCUGCGCCUACCCCUGCCCAUUCAGGACCUCAAGAGGUAGAAGACUUUGUCAUCUCAGAGCCAGUGUCUGGUUUACCAGAAGAGUCGUCAUCCGUGGACCAUGACUACUGCUCCUUAUCAGAGCAGGCAAAGUUUAAGCAGUCUAGUCUGCUAGCUGAGAAACUCUGCAUUAUAGGUGACAAGUUAAAGUCCAUCAAUACAAUGGAUAAAAGUCAAGAAGAAACUAUCUUGAAGUUUCUAGAUUAUGCUGAAUAUUGGAUUAGCGGAGGGCAAGACGAGGAAAGGUUGACAGGCGCUGUGAUGACUUUACUUCGGACUCAUUCGCAAGGAUACUCAAUCUACUCCAGUCUUUUGCUGCAAGCGCUGGCUGGCUGGCUGGGUCAGAAGUUUCAUUCAGCCAACAGUAGCAUAAGCCAGCAGGUAGAAACCUUCAAAAUGCGACACAUUGAACACAUUACAGACUUGCCUCCUGCUGAGGAACUUGCCACAGAACUCUUUCCAGAGGCAAUGCGGAACCUGAUGAUAAACUGGAUGGGUCUGGGUGAAGAGGCAGCCACAUGGAAAAGACUCAGUGAAUAUCCAAUUGUACUGCUUAUACUGGAAUUCGCCAACCAUAACCUCAUCACAGGAGUGGCCCAUGUACUAUAUUCCAGUCUCAUAAGCAGGUAG